CAGCCACAGCUGCAGCCACACCCCAAUCAGGGCCCAGCUGGCCUUUAUAAGAGAGCAGUGGGCCAGGAGGACAGUCUCUCUCUAGAUGUUGAGAGGGAGGGGCCUGACCACUGGGUGCUAAGCAGGGUACCUAAAGUGGAGCAGGGCUGGGGAAAGGCCAGAGGAGCUAUGGAGCUCCGGCCUGAGAAACCCUCAGGCUGCAAGCCUUGAUGAAGGCCAAGGAAAAGGGUACUGGAGUUGCAGAGGGCAGCCCAAGGCAAGAAAAGGAAGACAGGAGACAAGGAAAAUCUGCCUUUCAGCAAACAAAUGUGAGAAGAAAUAACACAGAACUUCUUUCACCACCAGCUGCCUUUAUAGCAAAUGAACUUUAACUAAGGAUGACAAGAGAAACAGCCCGGGGACUUUGGGAUCCGAUCCUAACCUGAAAUUUGGUCAGCCCUGUUGCUGGAAGCAAGUGUUUGACCACAAACUUCAUCAGCAACUAAAAAUGUCUGACCACAACAUCAUCAGCAACCAAACAGAAACGUGUGAAAGAAAACAAUGUUUUUAUUGUUUGAUGAAUACAAUAAACCUAAUUUUUAU
Dermochelys coriacea (leatherback sea turtle) is the source of this 582-nucleotide long non-coding RNA. RefSeq lists it as uncharacterized. The record is from RefSeq and is a predicted model, not a curated record. Lineage: Eukaryota; Metazoa; Chordata; Testudines; Dermochelyidae. The transcript is spliced from 4 exons.